CCGUAGGGUGAACCUGCGGAAGGAUCAUUACCUUUCAAUGCAGAAGAGUUGAGAUGGUUGAGUAUCUCGCCUCUCAAUUCUCGCUGUAUUUUACCCUUGUUUUUCUCAUACUAUUAUUUCCUCGGCAGGCUCGCCUGCCGGGUGAAACAACUUCAAACCUGUUUAAUUUUCAAUCAGCGUCUGAACAAAUUAAUAAUUACAACUUUCAACAACGGAUCUCUUGGUUCUGGCAUCGAUGAAGAACGCAGCGAAAUGCGAUAAGUAGUGUGAAUUGCAGAAUUCAGUGAAUCAUCGAAUCUUUGAACGCACAUUGCGCCCCUUGGUAUUCCAUGGGGCAUGCCUGUUCGAGCGUCAUUUGUACCUUCAAGCUCUGCUUGGUGUUGGGUGUUUGUCCUUGCUCUAGUGGCGGGACUCGCCUCAAAGUAAUUGGCAGCCAGUGUUUUGGUUUUGAAGCGCAGCACAAGUCGCGAUUCAAGUCUAUACGCUAGUUUCCACAAGUCUUUUAUCACUUUUGACCUCGGAUCAGGUAGGGAUACCCGCUGAACUUAAGCAUAUCAAUAAGCCGGAG
Molecule: ribosomal RNA, 568 nt
Filed under: fungal endophyte
Lineage: Eukaryota; Fungi
Description: eukaryotic LSU rRNA
Rfam family: 5.8S ribosomal RNA (bases 201-354)
Source: RNAcentral